UAUAUGCCGAGGUUUUCUGAGGAACGAACUCGUCUAGUCUGUGUCCAUUGUAAGAGAUUUCACCUGAACACUGUGGAAGGAAAAAGGAAAAGGAGGACCAAGCAACAGUGUUAACCUGCAACAAGAAGAAGAAUUAACACACUUAAAACAUUGAUCAAGACUAGUGAACUUUUUGAGUACUCACAGAGAAAAUGCGCUUGGCAGUGUUCCACAGUGUUGGAAGUGCCUUCCCUUCAACAAUCUCGCACUCGGCCUCUA
Capsella rubella is the source of this 258-nucleotide long non-coding RNA. RefSeq lists it as uncharacterized. Lineage: Eukaryota; Viridiplantae; Streptophyta; Magnoliopsida; Brassicales; Brassicaceae. The record is from RefSeq and is a predicted model, not a curated record. The transcript has 3 exons.